This is a non-coding RNA of Ictidomys tridecemlineatus (thirteen-lined ground squirrel), 407 nucleotides long. The record is from RefSeq and is a predicted model, not a curated record. NCBI's taxonomy places the organism in Eukaryota, Metazoa, Chordata, Mammalia, Rodentia, Sciuridae.
AUAGCUUGACAGGUUUUGCUGCGUAUGUUCACCAUGGACACCAGAGAACCUGGCCUUCCUGAAUGAAAUUGGAGAGCAGCAGGUUGGGAGGCCUCUUAUAAACUUUAAUUUGGGGAGAGCCAUUGGAAGAAGGAGGUCCAUCUCCCUGUGGUUGUGGCCGUGUCUGUAACUGCUGGUCCUCAUGGCGAAUACUUGGAGGGAGGAAGACACGUUCCUUGGUGACACACUCAGCUUGGGUGCCAAUUCAGGGCAAGUCCCCCUCCAUCCACCCCACUGGCUGUCACCGUUACUGUUUUCACACAGGUCUGCUUGGAAGGAGAAAGCCACAGCUGGUGAGCCUUGGUUGGCUGAGCCAUGUUGAAGACUUUGAUUCUGUUUGUACAUAGAAGUGAGGUUUGAUUGACAUG